RNAcentral lists this ribosomal RNA (203 nucleotides) under uncultured bacterium. RNAcentral describes it as "partial 16S ribosomal RNA". It matches the Rfam family "Bacterial small subunit ribosomal RNA", at positions 1300 to 1500 of the family's 1533-position model. The record is from RNAcentral.
GUAGGCUGCAACUCGCCUACACGAAGCUGGAAUCGCUAGUAAUCGCGGAUCAGCACGCCGCGGUGAAUACGUUCCCGGGCCUUGUACACACCGCCCGUCACACCAUGAGAGUCUGUAACACCCAAAGCCGGUGGGAUAACCUUUAUAGGAGUCAGCCGUCUAAGGUAGGACAGAUGAUUAGGGUGAAGUCGUAACAAGGUAAC